UGGCGGACGGGUGAGGAAUACAUCGGAAUCUACUCUGUCGUGGGGGAUAACGUAGGGAAACUUACGCUAAUACCGCAUACGACCUACGGGUGAAAGCAGGGGAUCUUCGGACCUUGCGCGAUUGAAUGAGCCGAUGUCGGAUUAGCUAGUUGGCGGGGUAAAGGCCCACCAAGGCGACGAUCCGUAGCUGGUCUGAGAGGAUGAUCAGCCACACUGGAACUGAGACACGGUCCAGACUCCUACGGGAGGCAGCAGUG
This 257-nucleotide ribosomal RNA is filed under the name uncultured Stenotrophomonas sp. Its description in RNAcentral is "partial 16S ribosomal RNA". It matches the Rfam family "Bacterial small subunit ribosomal RNA", at positions 96 to 356 of the family's 1533-position model. The record is from RNAcentral. Lineage: Bacteria; Pseudomonadati; Pseudomonadota; Gammaproteobacteria; Lysobacterales; Lysobacteraceae.